UACGUAGGGCGCAAGCGUUAUCCGGAAUUAUUGGGCGUAAAGAGCUCGUAGGCGGUUUGGUAAGUCGGGUGUGAAAUCUCCACGCUCAACGUGGAGGGGCCACUCGAUACUGCCAUGACUCGAGUCCGGUAGAGGAGUGUGGAAUUCCCGGCGUAGCGGUGAAAUGCGCAGAUAUCGGGAGGAACACCCGUAGCGAAGGCGGCACUCUGGGCCGGAACUGACGCUGAGGCGCGAAAGCGUGGGGAGCAAACAGG
Molecule: ribosomal RNA, 254 nt
Filed under: uncultured bacterium
Lineage: Bacteria
Description: partial 16S ribosomal RNA
Rfam family: Bacterial small subunit ribosomal RNA
Source: RNAcentral